RNAcentral lists this ribosomal RNA (459 nucleotides) under uncultured bacterium. RNAcentral describes it as "SSU rRNA". It matches the Rfam family "Bacterial small subunit ribosomal RNA", at positions 26 to 518 of the family's 1533-position model. The record is from RNAcentral.
AGAACGAACGCUGGCGGCAUGCCUAACACAUGCAAGUCGAACGCUCACCGGGCUUCGGUUCGGUGGGAGUGGCGCACGGGUGAGUAGCGCGUGGGAACCUGCCCUGUUGUGGGGGAUAACCGAGGGAAACUUCGGCUAAUACCGCAUGCGCCCGGGGAAACCCGGGGAAAGAUUUAUCGCUCUAGGAGGGGCCCGCGUCGGAUUAGGUAGUUGGUGGGGUAACGGCCUACCAAGCCUGUGAUCCGUAGCUGGUCUGAGAGGAUGAUCAGCCACACUGGGACUGAGACACGGCCCAGACUCCUACGGGAGGCAGCAGUGGGGAAUAUUGGACAAUGGGCGCAAGCCUGAUCCAGCAAUGCCGCGUGAGUGAUGAAGGCCUUCGGGUUGUAAAGCUCUUUCGCACGCGAGGAUGAUGAUGCUAGCGUGAGAGACGCCCGGCUAACUCGUGCCAGCAGCCGC